Molecule: ribosomal RNA, 253 nt
Filed under: uncultured bacterium
Lineage: Bacteria
Description: partial 16S ribosomal RNA
Rfam family: Bacterial small subunit ribosomal RNA
Source: RNAcentral
UACGUAGGGUGCAAGCGUUGUCCGGAAUUAUUGGGCGUAAAGAGCUCGUAGGCGGUCUGUCACGUCGGAUGUGGAAAACUCGGGGCUCAACCCCCGAGCCUGCAUACGAUACGGGCAGACUUGAGUUCGGCAGGGAGACUGGAAUUCCUGGUGUAGCGGUGAAAUGCGCAGAUAUCAGGAGGAACACCGGUGGCGAAGGCGGGUCUCUGGGCCGAUACUGACGCUGAGGAGCGAAGCGUGGGGAGCGAACAGG